Molecule: long non-coding RNA, 230 nt
Filed under: Mytilus galloprovincialis (Mediterranean mussel)
Lineage: Eukaryota; Metazoa; Mollusca; Bivalvia; Mytilida; Mytilidae
Source: RNAcentral
CCCUGAUAAGACAAUGUAAAACAAUUCAAACGAGAAAACUAACGGCCUUAUUUAUGUAAAAAAAUGAACGAAAAACAAAUAUGUAACACAUAAACAAACGACAACCACUGAAUUACAGGCUCCUGACUUGGGACAGGCACAUACAUAAAUAAUGAGGCGGGGUUAAACAUGUUAGCGGAAUCCCAACCCUCCCCCUAACCUGGGACAGUGGUAUAACAGUGCAACAUAAG